GCGCAACGCGGAUUUCAUGCGUCUGCGCUUAAUUUAUUCUAUCCGGUAAUUUGCUUUCAACUGUUUGUGUUCUUCCAAACAAACAAAAGUCGGGGACUAACAGUGACCACUUCGUCUGUGAACCUUCUACCUUCUUUGUGUUCAUGUGGAUCAAGAUACUCAUUAAAAUGAAGAUAUUCUGUGUUCUCGUGUUAUGCACUAUUGCACUAUCAUCUGCUGAACCUGAAGACGAUCCUAAAGGCAUUAUGGGCUACUUGUGUGGACGUAGACUCUAAGAAGCAUUACAAAUGAAUUGUGCUGAUGAAGAACUGAUUUUAUCCCACCUUGAAAACCUACAGGAUGACCACCAACACAAUCACCAAUCAGGUCAAAUAAGGAAUAGACGUUCUUUAACUGAAGAAUGCUGCCUCAAGAGAUGUCAUGUCAAAACUCUUCUCAGCUAUUGUCCUUGAAUGUAAACUCUUUAAGAUCAAUAUCCUCCUUAGAGCUAGUUAAAAAAUUUAUGUAGAAUUGUAGUUGCUAGAAAAUGAUAGACAAUAAAAUGAAUAAUGAAUACAUAGAAGAAA
Non-coding RNA from Spodoptera litura, 566 nucleotides. Lineage: Eukaryota; Metazoa; Arthropoda; Insecta; Lepidoptera; Noctuidae. The record is from RefSeq and is a predicted model, not a curated record.